Molecule: ribosomal RNA, 901 nt
Filed under: Staphylococcus aureus
Lineage: Bacteria; Bacillati; Bacillota; Bacilli; Caryophanales; Staphylococcaceae
Description: partial 23S ribosomal RNA
Rfam family: Bacterial large subunit ribosomal RNA
Source: RNAcentral
GAGAAUGCCGGUGUGAGUAGCGAAAGACGGGUGAGAAUCCCGUCCACCGAUUGACUAAGGUUUCCAGAGGAAGGCUCGUCCGCUCUGGGUUAGUCGGGUCCUAAGCUGAGGCCGACAGGCGUAGGCGAUGGAUAACAGGUUGAUAUUCCUGUACCACCUAUAAUCGUUUUAAUCGAUGGGGGGACGCAGUAGGAUAGGCGAAGCGUGCGAUUGGAUUGCACGUCUAAGCAGUAAGGCUGAGUAUUAGGCAAAUCCGGUACUCGUUAAGGCUGAGCUGUGAUGGGGAGAAGACAUUGUGUCUUCGAGUCGUUGAUUUCACACUGCCGAGAAAAGCCUCUAGAUAGAAAAUAGGUGCCCGUACCGCAAACCGACACAGGUAGUCAAGAUGAGAAUUCUAAGGUGAGCGAGCGAACUCUCGUUAAGGAACUCGGCAAAAUGACCCCGUAACUUCGGGAGAAGGGGUGCUCUUUAGGGUUAACGCCCAGAAGAGCCGCAGUGAAUAGGCCCAAGCGACUGUUUAUCAAAAACACAGGUCUCUGCUAAACCGUAAGGUGAUGUAUAGGGGCUGACGCCUGCCCGGUGCUGGAAGGUUAAGAGGAGUGGUUAGCUUCUGCGAAGCUACGAAUCGAAGCCCCAGUAAACGGCGGCCGUAACUAUAACGGUCCUAAGGUAGCGAAAUUCCUUGUCGGGUAAGUUCCGACCCGCACGAAAGGCGUAACGAUUUGGGCACUGUCUCAACGAGAGACUCGGUGAAAUCAUAGUACCUGUGAAGAUGCAGGUUACCCGCGACAGGACGGAAAGACCCCGUGGAGCUUUACUGUAGCCUGAUAUUGAAAUUCGGCACAGCUUGUACAGGAUAGGUAGGAGCCUUUGAAACGUGAGCGCUAGCUUACGUGGAGGC